Long non-coding RNA from Anguilla anguilla (European eel), 1314 nucleotides. RefSeq lists it as uncharacterized. The transcript is spliced from 3 exons. The record is from RefSeq and is a predicted model, not a curated record. NCBI's taxonomy places the organism in Eukaryota, Metazoa, Chordata, Actinopteri, Anguilliformes, Anguillidae.
GUCUUAUGGCCAACAUUUAGACACAUUCGCCAUCACCGCCAUACAUGUUCAUCUGCAGUCAGAACUGAGUUAUUGUGUUACUGUUUGUCACAACAGUAAAUUGUCUCACCGUGACAAGGUGACCAGCUCUCUGAGACAGAGGAUUAUGGAAGCAAUGCGUGCGACUGGAGCCCCUGACAGGCACCGCAGUUUUAAUGGUUCCUCCAACGUGGCGAGAAAAACAACACGUGAUGUCCGGCAUUCAUUGCCCAUUUCAAAGCCAAACCUAGGCUGUGGACAGGUGAAACCGGUAAGACAGGGUCACAACGGUAAUUACACCAACUUCAGCCUCUUGGGCAUGUUAUGUAAUAUGUCCAUCUAUCCACCCAUCCAUCCAUUCACCCUCUACAGGAAGAUGCCACACUAACAUGGCCCUACCUCACAGGAAGAUGCCACACUAACAUGGCACACUCUCCACAGGAAGAUGCCACACUAACAUGGCACACCCUCCACAGGAAGAUGCCACACUAACAUGGCACACCCUCCACAGGAAGAUGGCACACUAACAUGGCACACUCUCCACAGGAAGAUGCCACACUAACAUGGCCCUUCCUCACAGGAAGGCUUCCUGACCCUGGAGGCGCCAUGGCGCCCCCUCAGCAAGAUGGCGGGCAGCCUGGGGAGAGCCCAAUGGGACGGCCGCUCUGGCGGGUUCGAUGGAGCAAGCGACUCUGACUGCGCACGACUGCGCACGACUGCGCACGACUGCGCACGACUGCGCAGAAGACCUGGGGAGAUAUUGGGAGCGGUGGUGUUUACUGGGAUAGGGGCAUCGUCCCCAAGGAAACAAUGCUCGGAGAACGAGGGCAAUGAGGACUCAGACUGGGAAGACAGGCUGGUUAGACUAACCCGCAACUGGGUUCUAUGAACUAAACUUGCCUGUGGCAUUAAUGUGCCAUUUAAUGCGCCUGUAAGGUUCUAGCAUUAAUGUGCCAUUUAAUGUGCCUGUAAGGUUCUAGCAUUAAUGUGCCAUUUAACGUGCCUGUAAGGUUCUAGCAUUAAUGUGCCAUUUAACGUGCCUGUAAGGUUCUAGCAUUAAUGUGCCAUUUAACGUGCCUGUAAGGUUCUAGCAUUAAUGUGCCAUUUAAAAUGCCUGUAAGGUUCUAGCACAGGGCCCUAGAACAUCCUCAGGAAGCUUGGCCACGCACUCCCAACGUACACAUUUCCCCGUUUUGCCGUACCCCGAGGUCCCUUGUAGCUCAGUUACAAAUCAAGGAGGAAUAUUAGAAUGUGAUUCAGUUCUGCUAUUCAUGUUAAAAGAAAACCAUUCGAAUU